This 491-nucleotide ribosomal RNA is filed under the name uncultured bacterium. RNAcentral describes it as "partial 16S ribosomal RNA". It matches the Rfam family "Bacterial small subunit ribosomal RNA", at positions 29 to 507 of the family's 1533-position model. The record is from RNAcentral.
AGUGAACGCUGGCGGUAGGCCUAACACAUGCAAGUCGAACGGCAGCACAGUAAGAGCUUGCUCUUACGGGUGGCGAGUGGCGGACGGGUGAGGAAUACAUCGGAAUCUACUUUUUCGUGGGGGAUAACGUAGGGAAACUUACGCUAAUACCGCAUACGACCUACGGGUGAAAGCAGGGGAUCUUCGGACCUUGCGCGAUUGAAUGAGCCGAUGUCGGAUUAGCUAGUUGGCGGGGUAAAGGCCCACCAAGGCGACGAUCCGUAGCUGGUCUGAGAGGAUGAUCAGCCACACUGGAACUGAGACACGGUCCAGACUCCUACGGGAGGCAGCAGUGGGGAAUAUUGGACAAUGGGCGCAAGCAUGAUCCAGCAUACCGCGUGGGUGAAGAAGGCCUUCGGGUUGUAAAGCCCUUUUGUUGGGAAAGAAAAGCAGCAGGUUAAUACCCCGCUGUUCUGACGGUACCCAAAGAAUAAGCACCGGCUAACUUCGUG